GAAACACACACCCAGAGGAAAGAUGACGUGAAGACAGGAGAUGGUCAUCUACAUGCCAAGGAGAAAGGCCUCAGAGUAAACAACCCUGCCCACAUCGUGAUCUCCCAACUUGUCUCUAGAACUGUCCUGAGACUGUGCUCCCAUGGAGUAGACAGUGUCCGAUGUCCUUUGUAUCCAAACCUGGAAGAAGCUCAAUAAAUUACUUACUAGUUUUAGUUGUUCAAACAACAAAAAAACAUGUCUUCAGAAAUACCCACCGUAGAGAUUAAGAAUGUGUUGCUAAAUGGAUUUGGAAAUUUCCAAGUUCAACCAAGGUAUGAAUUACAACUAUUCAAUUUGCCAUUAACCAAAAGGUCUGCAAGCCUUCUACUCAAGAGCUCCAAACGAGUAUCUAACAGGACUCAAGAAUUCUAAUGAAUUCAGGUACAAUUCAAGAAUGGUGGCUGCAGCAAAAAUAGCCAUGAAGUCUUCCCUCCCCUGAGAGCAAGGGAGACAAAGGGAGCAGCGAGCAGGCAGAGAAGCAGCACAGCCGGCCCUGAGAGUUAAUCAUGUUGCGAUGUAAAUAGAAGUGAGUUUUCUUUCUCCUUCUCCUGAGAGCAAGGGGAAAAAAGGGAGCAUUGAGCAGGCGAAAGAAGCAGCACAGCCAGCCUUGAGAGUUAAUCACUCCUUGUUUAACUGUCACUAAUUUGCAGUAACUGGAUUUGUACUUUACAAAGCGAACCUCACUCCCUGACACUACGUAAUUUACCUUCGGCACCCAUCACCCCUGACUGUGUGUUACAUACCCCACCUCUCACUCCGGGCACUUACAUUCUACAGGCCCCUCGUAACAAAUCACCCCCUAUAGUUUUUGAAUUUCAGAGACAAGGUCACAGGCCGAUAAACGAGAGGCAAAUGGACGCAGUUUCCAGACUGCCAGCCCCAAUUACCAGGCAGCCUGACGCCAGCUAUGACUGUUUUGAAAUAAUGCAAAGGAAAGGAAGCAUGCAAGACCUUCACUACUUUGAUCCUUACCAUAUACCCCGGGCUGUGAGCCCCACAUCUAAAAUCUCCCGAUUCCCAAGGAGGGGGGGCACAGUUGAGGUGCUAGCCUGCUGUCUUCCCUUCUGCCUAGCAGAAAAAUAAAGCCAUCUCUCUCUUCCUCCAAAA
This is a long non-coding RNA of Lagenorhynchus albirostris (white-beaked dolphin), 1149 nucleotides long. RefSeq lists it as uncharacterized. The transcript is spliced from 2 exons. The record is from RefSeq and is a predicted model, not a curated record. NCBI's taxonomy places the organism in Eukaryota, Metazoa, Chordata, Mammalia, Artiodactyla, Delphinidae.